This 253-nucleotide ribosomal RNA is filed under the name uncultured bacterium. RNAcentral's name for it is "partial 16S ribosomal RNA". It matches the Rfam family "Bacterial small subunit ribosomal RNA", at positions 524 to 776 of the family's 1533-position model. The record is from RNAcentral.
UACGAAGGAUCCAAGCGUUGUCCGGAUUUACUGGGUUUAAAGGGUGCGUAGGCGGCCUUUUAAGUCAGUGGUGAAAGCCUGUAGCUUAACUAUAGAAUUGCCAUUGAAACUGAAAGUCUCGAGUGUGGUUGAGGUAACUGGAAUAUAUCAUGUAGCGGUGAAAUGCUUAGAUAUGAUAUAGAACACCAAUUGCGAAGGCAGGUUACUGAGCCAUUACUGACGCUGAGGCACGAAAGCGUGGGGAUCAAACAGU